AGGGGGCUAGCGUUAUCCGGAUUGACUGGGCGUAAAGGGUGCGUAGGCGGUCUUUCAAGUCAGGAGUGAAAGGCUACGGCUCAACCGUAGUAAGCUCUUGAAACUGGGAGACUUGAGUGCAGGAGAGGAGAGUGGAAUUCCUAGUGUAGCGGUGAAAUGCGUAGAUAUUAGGAGGAACACCAGUUGCGAAGGCGGCUCUCUGGACUGU
Molecule: ribosomal RNA, 208 nt
Filed under: Clostridioides difficile
Lineage: Bacteria; Bacillati; Bacillota; Clostridia; Peptostreptococcales; Peptostreptococcaceae
Description: partial 16S ribosomal RNA
Rfam family: Bacterial small subunit ribosomal RNA
Source: RNAcentral